This 380-nucleotide ribosomal RNA is filed under the name uncultured eukaryote. RNAcentral describes it as "partial 18S ribosomal RNA". It matches the Rfam family "Eukaryotic small subunit ribosomal RNA", at positions 592 to 976 of the family's 1831-position model. The record is from RNAcentral.
CAAUAGCGUAUAUUAAAGUUGUUGCGGUUAAAAAGCUCGUAGUUGGAUUUCUGCUGAGAACGACCGGUCCGCCCUCUGGGUGUGUAUCUGGCUCUUUCUUGGCAUCUUCUUGGUGAACGUUGCUGCACUUGACUGUGUGGAGCGCUACCCAGGACUUUUACUUUGAGGAAAUUAGAGUGUUUCAAGCAGGCAUACGCCUUGAAUACAUUAGCAUGGAAUAAUAAGAUAGGACCUCGGUUCUAUUUUGUUGGUUUCUAGAGCUGAGGUAAUGAUUAAUAGGGAUAGUUGGGGGCAUUCGUAUUUAACUGUCAGAGGUGAAAUUCUUGGAUUUGUUAAAGACGAACUACUGCGAAAGCAUUUGCCAAGGAUGUUUUCAUUGA